This 497-nucleotide ribosomal RNA is filed under the name uncultured bacterium. RNAcentral's name for it is "partial 16S ribosomal RNA". It matches the Rfam family "Bacterial small subunit ribosomal RNA", at positions 28 to 507 of the family's 1533-position model. The record is from RNAcentral.
GAUGAACGCUGGCGGCGUGCCUAAUACAUGCAAGUCGAGCGAACGGACGAGAAGCUUGCUUCUCUGAUGUUAGCGGCGGACGGGUGAGUAACACGUGGAUAACCUACCUAUAAGACUGGGAUAACUUCGGGAAACCGGAGCUAAUACCGGAUGAUAUUUUGAACCGCAUGGUUCAAAAGUGAAAGACGGUCUUGCUGUCACUUAUAGAUGGAUCCGCGCUGCAUUAGCUAGUUGGUAAGGUAACGGCUUACCAAGGCAACGAUGCAUAGCCGACCUGAGAGUGUGAGCGGCCACACUGGAACUGAGACACGGACCAGACUCCUACGGGUGGCAGCGGUAGGAAUUCGUCCGCAAGGGGCGAAAGCCUGACGGAGCAACGCCGCGUGAGUGAUGAAGAUCUUCGGAUCGUAAAACUCUGUUAUUAGGGAAGAACAUAUGUGUAAGUAACUGUGCACAUCUUGACGGUACCUAAUCAGAAAGCCACGGCUAACUACGUG